RNAcentral lists this ribosomal RNA (468 nucleotides) under uncultured bacterium. RNAcentral's name for it is "partial 16S ribosomal RNA". It matches the Rfam family "Bacterial small subunit ribosomal RNA", at positions 28 to 507 of the family's 1533-position model. The record is from RNAcentral.
GACGAACGCUGGCGGCGUGCUUAACACAUGCAAGUCGAACGGAAAGGCCCUGCUUUUGUGGGGUGCUCGAGUGGCGAACGGGUGAGUAACACGUGAGUAACCUCCCCUUGACUUUGGGAUAACUUCAGGAAACUGGGGCUAAUACCGGAUAGGAGCUCCUGCUGCAUGGUGGGGGUUGGAAAGUUUCGGCGGUUGGGGAUGGAUUCGCGGCUUAUCAGCUUGUUGGUGGAGUAGUGGCUUACCAAGGCUUUGAAGGGUAGCCGGCCUGAGAGGUUGACCGGGGACAAGGGGCCUGAGGUAGGGCGCAGAAGGCAACGGGAGGCAGCAGUGGGAAAUAUUGCAGAAUGGGGGGACGCGUGAGGCAGCAACGCCGCGAGCGGGAUGCCGGCCUAUGGGUUGUAAACAGCUUUGGAAUGUGACGAAGAGGGAGUGACGGUAAUGGGUAAAAAAGCACCGGCUAACUACGUG